This 330-nucleotide unclassified non-coding RNA is filed under the name rhizosphere metagenome. RNAcentral describes it as "partial ribosomal RNA internal transcribed spacer region". The record is from RNAcentral.
GUAGGUGAACCUGCGGAAGGAUCAUUACAGAUUUGGAUGUGUGGGUGUUGUUUGGCUGGGUGGUGGUGGAUUGUGUGAGUGUGGGUUGCAUGAGUGUGUGCUGCAGAUGGCUGGAUGUGAUCAGACGAAAUCAUUCACCAAUGCAGCAUAUCGAGCAUGUCUAUACGAGCAUAUCAUCAACACUUUGCCACACAACAACAAACAGCACAACAUCAGCAGCUGCUCAGGCCUCGCAGCCUGGGUGUGCAUGUUUGCGCUUGCUUGUUUGACAGUAUCAUCAAUGUAACCAACCAAAUAAUACAACUUUUAACAACGGAUCUCUUGGCUCUU